AGAGUUUGAUCCUGGCUCAGAUUGAACGCUGGCGGCAGGCUUAACACAUGCAAGUCGAGCGGGGAAAGGUAGCUUGCUACCUUACCUAGCGGCGGACGGGUGAGUAAUGCUUAGGAAUCUGCCUAUUAGUGGGGGACAACAUUUCGAAAGGAAUGCUAAUACCGCAUACGCCCUACGGGGGAAAGCAGGGGACCUUCGGGCCUUGCGCUAAUAGAUGAGCCUAAGUCGGAUUAGCUAGUUGGUGGGGUAAAGGCCUACCAAGGCGACGAUCUGUAGCGGGUCUGAGAGGAUGAUCCGCCACACUGGGACUGAGACACGGCCCAGACUCCUACGGGAGGCAGCAGUGGGGAAUAUUGGACAAUGGGGGGAACCCUGAUCCAGCCAUGCCGCGUGUGUGAAGAAGGCCUUUUGGUUGUAAAGCACUUUAAGCGAGGAGGAGGCUCCCAGUAUUAAUACUACUGGAGAGUGGACGUUACUCGCAGAAUAAGCACCGGCUAACUCUGUGCCAGCAGCCGCGGUAAUACAGAGGGUGCAAGCGUUAAUCGGAUUUACUGGGCGUAAAGCGUGCGUAGGUGGCCAAUUAAGUCAAAUGUGAAAUCCCCGAGCUUAACUUGGGAAUUGCAUUCGAUACUGGUUGGCUAGAGUAUGGGAGAGGAUGGUAGAAUUCCAGUGUAGCGGUGAAAUGCGUAGAGAUCUGGAGGAAUACCGAUGGCGAAGCAGCCAUCUGGGCCUAAUACUGACACUGAG
This 747-nucleotide ribosomal RNA is filed under the name uncultured bacterium. RNAcentral's name for it is "bacterial SSU rRNA". It matches the Rfam family "Bacterial small subunit ribosomal RNA", at positions 8 to 750 of the family's 1533-position model. The record is from RNAcentral.